This is a non-coding RNA of Arachis ipaensis, 350 nucleotides long. Lineage: Eukaryota; Viridiplantae; Streptophyta; Magnoliopsida; Fabales; Fabaceae. The record is from RefSeq and is a predicted model, not a curated record.
AAGUGCUUGGUACUUUUAACCAAGACCCCUUUCUUCAAUUCAUUAACUAUCUCAAAAAUGAAUCCUGCAAUUUUGUUCUGUUUUGCUAAUAAGAAAGAUAUAUUAAAUCGGUAUUGUGAUCACUUGUAAAAUGAGAGACAGUAAAUCUUAACCAUCUAAGAUGUUGAUUAAAUAUACAAUAAUACCAUUCUAAGCUAUUACGUGGUAAGCAAGACUUUAAUUAGUGGUAUGUAUCGUCUUCAUAUUUUAAAAUAAGGAGAUAUUAAAAAAAAAAGGAGAGUUAGCUGAUGUUAUUUCAAAUAUAAGGUAAAAAUAAAGAAGUGUUGGUCAUCUAAAAUUACUUUUAAAAA